CUUGCAAAAACAACGAAUAAGAGGUCCCGCCUGCCCUGUGACUUAAAUUUUAACGGCCGCGGUAUUUUACCGUGCGAAGGUAGCGCAAUCACUUGUCUUUUAAAUGGAGACCUGUAUGAAUGGCACAACGAGGGCUUAACUGUCUCCUCUUUCCAGUCAAUGAAAUUAAUCUUCCCGUGCAGAAGCGGGAAUAUACUCAUAAGACGAGAAGACCCUAUGGAGCUUUAGACACUAAGACGAAUCAUGUUAAGUACCUCUAAAUAAAGAACCAAACCAGAUGAACCUCGCCCUAUAUGUCUUUGGUUGGGGCGACCGCGGGGAAAUACAAAACCCCCACGUGGAAUGGGAACACCCCUCCUACAACUCAGAGCUCCCGCUCUAAUAAACAGAACUUCUGACCAAUCAGAUCCGGCAAAGCCGAUCAACGGACCGAGUUACCCUAGGGAUAACAGCGCAAUCCCCUUCUAGAGCCCAUAUCGACAAGGGGGUUUACGACCUCGAUGUUGGAUCAGGACAUCCUAAUGGUGCAGCCGCUAUUAAGGGUUCGUUUGUUCAACGAUUA
This 562-nucleotide ribosomal RNA is filed under the name Zebrasoma scopas (twotone tang). RNAcentral describes it as "partial 16S small subunit ribosomal RNA". It matches the Rfam family "Bacterial large subunit ribosomal RNA", at positions 1822 to 2590 of the family's 2925-position model. The record is from RNAcentral. Lineage: Eukaryota; Metazoa; Chordata; Actinopteri; Acanthuriformes; Acanthuridae.